UUCCAGCUCCAAUAGCGUAUACUAAAGUUGUUGCAGUUAAAAAGCUCGUAGUUGAAUUUCGGGGUUAGUAGGUUGGUCAUGCCUCCGGUAUGUACUGAUCUCACUGAUUCCUCCUUCCUUAUGAACCGUAAUGCCAUUAAUUUGGUGUUGCGGGGAAUUUGGACUGUUACUUUGAAAAAAUUAGAGUGUUUAAAGCAGGCUAACGCUUGAAUACAUUAGCAUGGAAUAAUGAAAUAGGACGUUCGAUCUUAUUUUGUUGGUUUCUAGGAUUGACGUAAUGAUUAAUAGGGAUAGUUGGGGGCAUUAGUAUUCAAUUGUCAGAGGUGAAAUUCUUGGAUUUAUUGAAGACUAACUACUGCGAAAGCAUUUGCCAAGGAUGUUUUCAUUAAUCAAGAACGAAAGUUAGGGGAUCGAAGACGAUCAGAUACCGUCGUAGUCUUAACCAUAAACUAUGCGACUAGGGAUCGG
RNAcentral lists this ribosomal RNA (468 nucleotides) under uncultured Glomus. RNAcentral describes it as "SSU rRNA". It matches the Rfam family "Eukaryotic small subunit ribosomal RNA", at positions 583 to 1056 of the family's 1831-position model. Lineage: Eukaryota; Fungi; Glomeromycota; Glomeromycetes; Glomerales; Glomeraceae. The record is from RNAcentral.